Molecule: unclassified non-coding RNA, 156 nt
Filed under: uncultured Pleosporales
Lineage: Eukaryota; Fungi; Ascomycota; Dothideomycetes; Pleosporales
Description: sequence contains ITS2
Source: RNAcentral
ACACCCUCAAGCUCAUGCUUGGUGUUGGGCGUCUGUCCGCGCUUUCGGCGCGGACUCGCCCCAAAUCCAUUGGCAGCGGCUCCGCCGGCUUCUCGCGCAGCACUUUGCGCUCUUGAAGGCUUUCGGCGGGCUCGCAUCCAUCAAGUAACCCCCCAA